Long non-coding RNA from Mytilus trossulus (common blue mussel), 907 nucleotides. RefSeq lists it as uncharacterized. The record is from RefSeq and is a predicted model, not a curated record. Lineage: Eukaryota; Metazoa; Mollusca; Bivalvia; Mytilida; Mytilidae. The transcript has 3 exons.
UAAUGCGCCUUGAAAUGAGGAACUCAAAAGUCAUGUGUAAAGAAAAAAUCUCUGUGUAGUGAUAUUGGACAUGUUUCUAUUUUUAACAAAUGACUGAACUUAAUUAUUUGUGGUGAUUAAGAAAGUAGAGGAACAUAGAAUAAAUGUGUAAAAACUAUGGAGCUAUUGAAUGUGUUCAAAGUAUCAAAUUUUCAAAGAACUUAUUGUGUUAAAAAGGGGAUAUUUUACCACAAGGAGCCGCAUCACAAAAGGAUGUUCGGGGUUUGCUAAUUUACGGAAAAAGUAAUCUCACUUCGUACCCCGAAAAUUUAAUCACAUAUGUGAAAAUGUCACAGCUUCGAAACGAGCUAUCAUACAUGUACAUAUCCAAGUUUACGAUAUGGACUGAGCUACAGGAAAAAACGUUACCAUUAUCGCCUAUGGAAAAACAAUUAAAGAUAUUGAGCCAAUUUACAAAAAGAUAAAUCAGAAGUUUCCAGAGUGAUCUAUGGAUGAUUUCACCUUGUACACCCGGGAAAAUUGUGAAAAUGAUGUUCCAGACAUAUCAUUACUUUUUAACCUGAGAUGACAAACUAGAGGUUUUAAAAGGUCCUGAAUAACUGAAAUGGACAAAAAUACACAGAUUUAUUCAGAAUGUCAUACCGAUGAAGAUCACAUAAAAAUAUUUGGAAAAAUCAGAACUAUGGAUUGCAAUAUGGGACAACAUCCUAAUGCGCCUUGAAAUGAGGAACUCAAAAGUCACGUGUAAAGAAAAAAUCUCUGUGUAGUGAUAUUGGACAUGUUUCUAUUUUUAACAAAUGACUGAACUUAAUUAUUUGUGGUGAUUAAGAAAGUAGAGGAACAUAGAAUAAAUGUGUAAAAACUAUGGAGCUAUUGAAUGUGUUCAAAGUAUUAAAUUUUCAAAGAA